This 253-nucleotide ribosomal RNA is filed under the name uncultured bacterium. Its description in RNAcentral is "partial 16S ribosomal RNA". It matches the Rfam family "Bacterial small subunit ribosomal RNA", at positions 524 to 776 of the family's 1533-position model. The record is from RNAcentral.
UACGAAGGGGGCUAGCGUUGUCCGGAAUCAUUGGGCGUAAAGCGCGUGUAGGCGGUCCGGUAAGUCCGCUGUGAAAGUCGGGGGCUCAACCCUCGGAUGCCGGUGGAUACUGUCGGGCUUGAGUACGGAAGAGGCGAGUGGAAUUCCUGGUGUAGCGGUGAAAUGCGCAGAUAUCAGGAGGAACACCAAUGGCGAAGGCAGCUCGCUGGGACGUGACUGACGCUGAGACGCGAAAGCGUGGGGAGCAAACAGG